GAGACUGGGUGCUUCGGCGCCCGACCUCCAACCCCCUGUCUACCUUACCACUGUUGCCUCGGCGUACCCGCCCCUCCCCCCUCUGGGGGGUGUGGUGUUCGCGCCGGCGGCCAAAAACAAAACCCUUUUUUUAAACCAAGCAAUCUGAGAAAUUAUUUAAUAACUUCAAAACUUUCAACAACGGAUCUCUUGGUUCU
Molecule: unclassified non-coding RNA, 197 nt
Filed under: rhizosphere metagenome
Description: partial ribosomal RNA internal transcribed spacer region
Source: RNAcentral